This 535-nucleotide ribosomal RNA is filed under the name uncultured fungus. Its description in RNAcentral is "eukaryotic LSU rRNA". The stretch from base 123 to 276 matches the Rfam family "5.8S ribosomal RNA". The record is from RNAcentral. Lineage: Eukaryota; Fungi.
UAUCCNCCUUGUGUGCAAUGUUUGUUGGGAGAGAGGCAACUCUUUCCCUUCACAAAUAUCAACCUAUAUCUUUAACAACAUUCGUCUGAUAACAUAUUAUGAAUAUACUUAAUUCAAAAUAUAACUUUCAACAACGGAUCUCUUAGCUCCCGCAUCGAUGAAGAACGCAGCGAAAUGCGAUAAGUAAUGUGAAUUGCAGAAUUCAGUGAAUCAUCGAAUCUUUGAACGCACCUUGCGCUCCUUGGUAUUCCGAGGAGCAUGCCUGUUUGAGUGUCAUUAAAUUCUCAACCUCUCUAGCUUUGCUAGUAAGAUGGCUUGGAUGUGGGGGUUAUUUUUGCAGGCUUUCACAAGUCAGCUCCCCUGAAAUGCAUUAGCCGGUACUCUCUGACCGUCUAUUGGUGUGAUAAUUAUCUACGCCGUGGACUGAAGAAAUUGUACUGCUUAUAAUCGUUCUGUAUAGAACAAUUCAUGACAUUUUGACCUCAAAUCAGGUAGGACUACCCGCUGAACUUAAGCAUAUCAAUAAGCGGAGGAA